AAUAAACGCUGGCGGCGUGCAUUAUGCAUGCAAGUCGAACGGUCUUGAUUUUAUCAAGAUAGUGGCGAACGGGUGAGUAACACGUAAGUAACCUGCCCCUAAGUGGGGAAUAACCUCGGGAAACCGAGGCUAAUACCGCAUGUAGUGGUGGAGGUAAGGCUUCACCACCAAAGCCUUCGGGCGCUUGGGGAGGGGCUUGCGGCUGAUUAGCUAGUUGGUAGGGUAACGGCUUACCAAGGUGAUGAUCGGUAGCUGGUCUGAGAGGAUGGUCAGCCACACUGGGACUAAGACACGGCCCAGACUCCUACGGGAGGCAGCAGCAAGGAAUUUUGUGCAAUGGGCGAAAGCCUGACACAGCAACGCCGCGUGGGGGAUGAAUGCCUUCGGGUUGUAAACCCCUUUUCUUGGGGAAGAAUAAUGACGGUACCUGAGGAAUAAGCCUUGGCUAACUACGUGCCAGCAGCCGCGGUAAUACGUAGAAGGCGAGCGUUAUUCGGAUUUACUGGGCGUAAAGAGGGCGUAGGCGGCCUUUCAAGUCGGAUGUGAAAUCUCUCGGCUUAACCGAGAGGGGUCAUCCGAUACUGUUGGGCUAGAGGGCAGCAAGAGGAGGUGGAAUUCCCGGUGUAGUGGUGAUAUGCGUAGAUAUCGGGAGGAACACCAGUGGCGAAGGCGGCCUCCUGGGCUGUUUCUGACGCCGAGGCCCGAAAGUGUGGGGAGCGAACAGGAUUAGAUACCCUGGUAGUCCACACCGUAAACGAUGGAUACUAGGUAUAGGGAGUAUCGACCCUCUCUGUGCCGAAGCUAACGCUUUAAGUAUCCCGCCUGGGGAGUACGGCCGCAAGGCUA
Molecule: ribosomal RNA, 846 nt
Filed under: uncultured Chloroflexota bacterium
Lineage: Bacteria; Bacillati; Chloroflexota
Description: bacterial SSU rRNA
Rfam family: Bacterial small subunit ribosomal RNA
Source: RNAcentral